Molecule: non-coding RNA, 272 nt
Filed under: Laccaria bicolor S238N-H82
Lineage: Eukaryota; Fungi; Basidiomycota; Agaricomycetes; Agaricales; Hydnangiaceae
Description: Eukaryotic small subunit ribosomal RNA
Rfam family: Eukaryotic small subunit ribosomal RNA
Source: Rfam by way of RNAcentral
UUUGACUCAACACGGGGAAACUCACCAGGUCCAGACAUAACUAGGAUUGACAGAUUGAUAGCUCUUUCAUGAUUUUAUGGGUGGUGGUGCAUGGCCGUUCUUAGUUGGUGGAGUGAUUUGUCUGGUUAAUUCCGAUAACGAACGAGACCUUAACCUGCUAAAUAGCCAGGCCGGCUUUCGCUGGUCGCCGGCUUCUUAGAGGGACUGUCAGCGUCUAGCUGACGGGCUAGGGUGGAUGAGUGGCUUUGAAAUUUUUCCCUCCUAAUAUAAGA